UGAACAUUAGUUUAAACAAAACAGCUAAUUUCGACUUAGCAAAUUCGGAAAUUCUCCGAAUGUUCAU
Molecule: transfer RNA, 67 nt
Filed under: Anolis cybotes (large-headed anole)
Lineage: Eukaryota; Metazoa; Chordata; Lepidosauria; Squamata; Anolidae
Description: tRNA-Arg
Source: RNAcentral